AGAAUUGCAUAGUCACUUUCUUUUUUCGACCGAUCAUUGACUGAAGGUCUAGAUACCUCUCCGUCUCCAACGGCUGGUGAACUGUCAAAAUCGUCGACAUCGUUGUUUUCAACAUAGGAUCCAUCUCUCUCGAAUAAAAGAUAUCCGUUUUUUCAUAAUUUAUCACCUGUCUUGAUGUCGCCGCAUAUGUAUCGAAAACUCUCCACAAUGCUCGUACAUUCGAGAUUCCCGCAAGAAAAAAGAAAAAAAUAUCAUCAACAAAAAAUAAAUGCGUAACCCACAGUGCUCCCCUGGUCACAUACAGUCCCUGCAACCGUCCUCUCUACCCCUCCCGCUUUAAU
Molecule: long non-coding RNA, 341 nt
Filed under: Linum usitatissimum (flax)
Lineage: Eukaryota; Viridiplantae; Streptophyta; Magnoliopsida; Malpighiales; Linaceae
Description: long non-coding RNA (LUSI_LNC005483)
Source: RNAcentral